Molecule: ribosomal RNA, 491 nt
Filed under: uncultured bacterium
Lineage: Bacteria
Description: partial 16S ribosomal RNA
Rfam family: Bacterial small subunit ribosomal RNA
Source: RNAcentral
AGUGAACGCUGGCGGUAGGCCUAACACAUGCAAGUCGAACGGCAGCACAGUAAGAGCUUGCUCUUACGGGUGGCGAGUGGCGGACGGGUGAGGAAUACAUCGGAAUCUACUUUUUCGUGGGGGAUAACGUAGGGAAACUUACGCUAAUACCGCAUACGACCUACGGGUGAAAGCAGGGGAUCUUCGGACCUUGCGCGAUUGAAUGAGCCGAUGUCGGAUUAGCUAGUUGGCGGGGUAAAGGCCCACCAAGGCGACGAUCCGUAGCUGGUCUGAGAGGAUGAUCGGCAACCCUGAACCUGGGACCCGGUCCGGCUCCUACGGGAGGGCACAGUUGGGAAUAUUGGACCAUGGGGGGAAACCUGAUCCCAGCCUUCCGCGGUGGGUGAGGAAGCCUUCCGGGUUGUAAAGCCCUUUUGUGGGGAAGAAAAACAGCCAGUUAAUACCCCGGUUGUCCGACGGUACCCAAAGGAUUAGCACCGGCCUACCUUCGU